UAUAACCAAAUCAAAGGAACUUGUUUUUUAAUCGAUAAUACUCGAUAAAUUUAACUUUUUAUUAAAGCUUAUAUACCGCCGUUUAAACUAACUUCAAAUAACUUUUUACAACCCUAUUCAAAAGUUCAGGUCAAGGUGUAGCCCAUUAUUUAGUUAAAAUAAGUUACUAUAAAACCUAUUUAUAGAAAUAAAAUAAAUUUAAAUAAAAAAGGAUUUAAAUUCAAUAAUUUAAUAGUAAUAAAUUAUGAAAAUCAUUUGAAC
Molecule: ribosomal RNA, 261 nt
Filed under: Harpactocrates radulifer
Lineage: Eukaryota; Metazoa; Arthropoda; Arachnida; Araneae; Dysderidae
Description: partial 12S ribosomal RNA
Source: RNAcentral